CAAAAAACCUACACCAAAACAAAAAGUAAUUAACACCAAAAAACCUACACGAAAAAAUAGAGUAAUUAACAAAGUAGCAGUAAAAAAAACAGACGCAACAAUUAAAAACGAUAAAUCAACACCAAAAGUUGAUAAAAGUAAUGAAGGAGGUGAUAAUAUCUUGGGGCUUGUCUUAGGUGGUAUAGGUGUACCUGUCGCAAUAGUUGGCAUACUUGCUGCUGUCGUGAAAUUUAAAAAGAUGCAAGAAGAAGGUGAAAAGAAAGGAAAGAAGGGAAAAAAGGGAAAGAAAGGAAAGAACGUAAAGAAAGUAAAGAAAAGAAAGAAAUCAAAAAAGACUAACGAUGACGAUGAUGACGACGAUGAUGACGAUGAUUGAAUGGA
This is a long non-coding RNA of Patella vulgata (common limpet), 381 nucleotides long. RefSeq lists it as uncharacterized. The record is from RefSeq and is a predicted model, not a curated record. Lineage: Eukaryota; Metazoa; Mollusca; Gastropoda; Patellidae. The transcript is spliced from 4 exons.